RNAcentral lists this ribosomal RNA (517 nucleotides) under uncultured bacterium. Its description in RNAcentral is "bacterial SSU rRNA". It matches the Rfam family "Bacterial small subunit ribosomal RNA", at positions 8 to 502 of the family's 1533-position model. The record is from RNAcentral.
AGAGUUUGAUCCUGGCUCAGAACGAACGUUGGCGGCGUGCUUAACACAUGCAAGUCGAACGAGAACGUCCCGGCUUGCCGGGAUUAGUAAAGUGGCGCACGGGUGAGUAACACGUGAGUAAUUUCCCUCUAAGCUUGGGAUAACACUGCGAAAGCGGUGCUAAUACCGAAUAAGACCACGGUAUCACAUGAUACAGUGGGAAAAGGUGGCCUCUGUAUAUGCUAUCACUUGGAGAUAAGCUCGCGGACCAUUAGCUUGUUGGUAGGGUAACGGCCUACCAAGGCUGAGAUGGUUAGCUGGUCUGAGAGGAUGAUCAGCCACACUGGAACUGAGACACGGUCCAGACUCCUACGGGAGGCAGCAGUGGGGAAUAUUGCGCAAUGGGGGAAACCCUGACGCAGUGACGCCGUGUGAGUGAUGAAGGUUUUCGGAUCGUAAAGCUCUGUCAGAUGGGAAGAAUAAAGGCAGGGAAAAUAUUUCUGCCUGAUGACGUACCAUCAGAGAAGCACCGCUAACU